UACGGAGGGUGCGAGCGUUAAUCGGAAUUACUGGGCGUAAAGGGUGCGUAGGUGGUUUGAUAAGUUAUCUGUAAAAGCCCAGGGCUCAACCUUGGAAGGCCAGAUAAGACUGUUAGACUAGAGUAUGGGAGAGGGUAGUGGAAUUUCCGGUGUAGCGGUGAAAUGCGUAGAGAUCGGAAGGAACACCAGUGGCGAAGGCGGCUACCUGGCCUGAUACUGACGCUGAAGCACGAAAGCGUGGGGAGCAAACAGG
RNAcentral lists this ribosomal RNA (253 nucleotides) under uncultured bacterium. Its description in RNAcentral is "partial 16S ribosomal RNA". It matches the Rfam family "Bacterial small subunit ribosomal RNA", at positions 524 to 776 of the family's 1533-position model. The record is from RNAcentral.